Molecule: ribosomal RNA, 511 nt
Filed under: Stutzerimonas stutzeri
Lineage: Bacteria; Pseudomonadati; Pseudomonadota; Gammaproteobacteria; Pseudomonadales; Pseudomonadaceae
Description: bacterial SSU rRNA
Rfam family: Bacterial small subunit ribosomal RNA
Source: RNAcentral
AUGGGCGAAAGCCUGAUCCAGCCAUGCCGCGUGUGUGAAGAAGGUCUUCGGAUUGUAAAGCACUUUAAGUUGGGAGGAAGGGCAGUAAGUUAAUACCUUGCUGUUUUGACGUUACCGACAGAAUAAGCACCGGCUAACUUCGUGCCAGCAGCCGCGGUAAUACGAAGGGUGCAAGCGUUAAUCGGAAUUACUGGGCGUAAAGCGCGCGUAGGUGGUUCGUUAAGUUGGAUGUGAAAGCCCCGGGCUCAACCUGGGAACUGCAUCCAAAACUGGCGAGCUAGAGUAUGGCAGAGGGUGGUGGAAUUUCCUGUGUAGCGGUGAAAUGCGUAGAUAUAGGAAGGAACACCAGUGGCGAAGGCGCCACCUGGGCUAAUACUGACACUGAGGUGCGAAAGCGUGGGGAGCAAMCAGGAUUAGAUACCCUGGUAGUCCACGCCGUAAACGAUGUCGUCUCCCGUUGGGAUCCUUGAGAUCUUAGUGGCGCAGCUAACGCAUUAAGUCGACCGCCUGG